CCGUGACUCGGCGAAAAGUCCAUUGAACCUUAUCAUUUAGAGGAAGGAGAAGUCGUAACAAGGUUUCCGUAGGUGAACCUGCGGAAGGAUCAUUG
RNAcentral lists this ribosomal RNA (95 nucleotides) under Fernandezia crystallina. RNAcentral describes it as "partial 18S ribosomal RNA". It matches the Rfam family "Eukaryotic small subunit ribosomal RNA", at positions 1737 to 1831 of the family's 1831-position model. Lineage: Eukaryota; Viridiplantae; Streptophyta; Magnoliopsida; Asparagales; Orchidaceae. The record is from RNAcentral. RNAcentral also lists the same sequence under 1 other name.